AAUGAACGCUGGCGGCGUGCCUAACACAUGCAAGUCGAGCGAGAAAGUUUCUUCGGAAAUGAGUAAAGCGGCGAACGGGUGAGAAACGCGUGAGAAUUUGCCCUUCAGUGAGGAAUACCCUCGAGAAAUCGAGGCUAAUACUGCAUACGUCCCUACGGGGAGAAAGAUGGCCUCUUUGCUAUCGCUGAAGGAUAAGCUUGCGUACUAUUAGCUAGUUGGUGAGGUAAUGGCUCACCAAGGCGAUGAUGGUUAACCGGCCUGAGAGGGUGUACGGUCACACUGGAACUUAGACACGGUCCAGACUCCUACGGGUGGCAG
Molecule: ribosomal RNA, 318 nt
Filed under: uncultured bacterium
Lineage: Bacteria
Description: bacterial SSU rRNA
Rfam family: Bacterial small subunit ribosomal RNA
Source: RNAcentral